UGUGGGAUGUAUGAUGAGGAAGCGGAUCACUCCUAUUUCAUCAUUAGCCCUCCACACUCUCGUUCUCUUUUCUCUCUCUCUCUCUCCCUCUCUCUCUUUCACUCUCCCUCUGUCUCUCCCCGUCCUGCUUUUUCCUGAGUUGCCGCGCACUCUUUCUCGCUGCUUGGCGCGCGCGCUCUCUCUCCCUCUCUCUCUCUCUCUCUCUCUCUCUCUCUUUUCUCGGUUUCUUCUACUUCCCCCUGUCUCCCUCGCUCCGUUCCUCUCUCUUCCCCUUCUCUCAGUCCCAGCCGCUCGCAAGGGGGAGACUGGAGCUCUGCAGGAGGAAAAAAAAAAAAAAAAGAGUGAGCGAACGAAAGAGAGGGCGAGCGGGAGAGAGAGAGAAAAAAAAUCUGCUGCUAUUUCUACAGAGAGGGCCUCCCCUCCGCCCGGCCCUGCCAGAGAGGGAGGGUUUCUUUACUACUAACUGGAUUUAACCCUCUGGCUGCAACUCUCUGCAUCGCAGCCCGCAGAAACCUGCUAACAAGUUGCUUUUUGUGGGGCAUUUUCGUGACAUUUUCGCGCGCCAAGAUCUGACGGUUGGGAUGUUUUUUUCACGGCUCGUUUUCGCCAUCGUCUCCGACGCACGUUGUCGGCGGCGGCGCCGCGGCAUGUUUUUCGCGUUCUCGUUUGCGUACGCGCGACGAUCUUUUUCUGCUUUAUUUUUUAUUUUUUCCCCCCGCUUCGCAUCCAUCUUCGUGUUUUGUAUUUUCUUCUUUUUUUUGUCGGCGAUGUUGCGGGGUUUAUUAUUUUUUUGGAGGCGAUAGCUCUGUGUGGUUUUUCCGUGGCGCUGCAUGAUGGCAUUUGGAGGUUUGGCCACCUGGACUUUGCUGUGCCCCCGUCGGCGGCCUCCCGGCCCGGGCUCCUGAAGGCGAACUCCGGGCAGCUCGGUCCCUUUCCUCCCUUUUGUCUUCUCUCCGCCGAGGACGGGAAGAGUUUCUGUCUCAGAGCACGGCGCGCACAUCUGCGAGUUAAAAGACGUGCCUUUUAGCUGCGGAGAGCGGCGGAGGGAAGGGGGAAAAGCGCGGAGCGUGGAGCGUGAAGCACGAGCACGAGCCAGGCCUUCCCCGAUUUCACCUUCGAGUGCUGCACUUUGGGAGACUCCCGCCGCAAUCAUUUCAUUUGGAAAGAUGGCAGACCACAGAUUUUCCGUUUUUCCAUGAGAUACCCGGGUGCCGUGAUGCAAUGUCACAGCACAAAGAGGGCAUGGGGACAAAGAUGGCAGUUGCACAUUCACAAUCAGAUAGAGUAUCCCUGAGCAAAGCAGAGGUGCAGAGGACAGCGUCUGAG
Molecule: long non-coding RNA, 1326 nt
Organism: Sardina pilchardus (European sardine)
Lineage: Eukaryota; Metazoa; Chordata; Actinopteri; Clupeiformes; Clupeidae
Exons: 4
Source: RefSeq, a predicted model, not a curated record